This 335-nucleotide ribosomal RNA is filed under the name uncultured soil bacterium. RNAcentral's name for it is "bacterial SSU rRNA". It matches the Rfam family "Bacterial small subunit ribosomal RNA", at positions 26 to 361 of the family's 1533-position model. The record is from RNAcentral.
AGGACGAACGCUGGCGGCGCGCUUAACACAUGCAAGUCGAACGGGUGUCCUUCGGGGCAUCAGUGGCGGACGGGUGCGUAACACGUAAGCGACCUGCCUUCAGGUGGGGGAUAACCCCGGGAAACCGGGGCUAAUACCGCAUUCGCUCUUGGGGCUGCAUGGCUCGAAGAGGAAAGCUCCUUCACAGGAGCGCCGGAAGAGGGGCUUGCGGCGUAUCAGCUAGUUGGCGAGGUAACGGCUCACCAAGGCAAUGACGCGUAGGGGGUCUGAGAGGACGGCCCCCACAUUGGGACUGAGAUACGGCCCAGACUCCUACGGGAGGCAGCAGUGGGAAU